RNAcentral lists this ribosomal RNA (717 nucleotides) under Bacillus siamensis. RNAcentral's name for it is "bacterial SSU rRNA". It matches the Rfam family "Bacterial small subunit ribosomal RNA", at positions 56 to 755 of the family's 1533-position model. The record is from RNAcentral. RNAcentral also lists the same sequence under 1 other name. Lineage: Bacteria; Bacillati; Bacillota; Bacilli; Caryophanales; Bacillaceae.
UGCAAGUCGAGCGGACAGAUGGGAGCUUGCUCCCUGAUGUUAGCGGCGGACGGGUGAGUAACACGUGGGUAACCUGCCUGUAAGACUGGGAUAACUCCGGGAAACCGGGGCUAAUACCGGAUGGUUGUCUGAACCGCAUGGUUCAGACAUAAAAGGUGGCUUCGGCUACCACUUACAGAUGGACCCGCGGCGCAUUAGCUAGUUGGUGAGGUAACGGCUCACCAAGGCGACGAUGCGUAGCCGACCUGAGAGGGUGAUCGGCCACACUGGGACUGAGACACGGCCCAGACUCCUACGGGAGGCAGCAGUAGGGAAUCUUCCGCAAUGGACGAAAGUCUGACGGAGCAACGCCGCGUGAGUGAUGAAGGUUUUCGGAUCGUAAAGCUCUGUUGUUAGGGAAGAACAAGUGCCGUUCAAAUAGGGCGGCACCUUGACGGUACCUAACCAGAAAGCCACGGCUAACUACGUGCCAGCAGCCGCGGUAAUACGUAGGUGGCAAGCGUUGUCCGGAAUUAUUGGGCGUAAAGGGCUCGCAGGCGGUUUCUUAAGUCUGAUGUGAAAGCCCCCGGCUCAACCGGGGAGGGUCAUUGGAAACUGGGGAACUUGAGUGCAGAAGAGGAGAGUGGAAUUCCACGUGUAGCGGUGAAAUGCGUAGAGAUGUGGAGGAACACCAGUGGCGAAGGCGACUCUCUGGUCUGUAACUGACGCUGAGGAGCG